AAGUUCAGGAGGGGCACAAAAGCAGAAGUUGAUGAACUCAUGAGGAUUGAGAAGUCGGAGUAUCCAAUGAGAAUAGUUUAUGGUUUUGGAAUAUCUCAUGAACAUCCGGGUACAUUCAUUUUGACAUACAUACGGAGUACAAAUCCACACCAUGAGUAUAUUGGUCUCUAUCCAAAGGGAUUUAAAUUUAGGAAAAGAAUGUUUGAAGAUAUUGAUAGGCUUGUGGCCUAUUUUCAAAGGCACAUCGAUGAUCCCCAGCAUGAUUCAGCACCAUCAAUUAGAUCAGUUGCUG
Molecule: unclassified non-coding RNA, 292 nt
Filed under: Hevea brasiliensis (rubber tree)
Lineage: Eukaryota; Viridiplantae; Streptophyta; Magnoliopsida; Malpighiales; Euphorbiaceae
Source: RNAcentral